Molecule: long non-coding RNA, 367 nt
Organism: Orcinus orca (killer whale)
Lineage: Eukaryota; Metazoa; Chordata; Mammalia; Artiodactyla; Delphinidae
Exons: 5
Source: RefSeq, a predicted model, not a curated record
CUGAGUGAUACUGCAUUGUACUUAGAAUCAUCAUACCUGAAUCCACUCAUUAUGCAGCUACGGGCCUGAUGACUUAGAUUUCAUUGCUGAGUGAUACUGCAUUGUACUUAGAAUCAUCGUACUUAAUCCACUCAUUAUGCUGCUACGGGCCUGAUGACAUAGAUUUCAUUGCUGAGUGAUAUUGCAUUGUACAGUGGACCCCAACAAGUGUCCCCCUGCCCAGUGUCAUUGGGGCCAACAGAUCGAGACUGAGUUUGGUUCACAAGCAAAGGAAACUUUAUAUUUUGAUCAGAGAAUGGAGAGUUAGAAUCAUCGUACUUAAUCCACUCAUUAUGCUGCUACGGGCCUGAUGACAUAGAUUUCAUUG